GGAGUUAGCCGGUGCUUCUUCUGUGAGUGAUGUCCUUCCUGCCGGUUAUUGACCCGCAGGCCUUCUUCCUCACUGAAAGUGCUUUACAACCCGAAGGCCUUCUUCACACACGCGGCAUGGCUGGAUCAGGGUUGCCCCCAUUGUCCAAUAUUCCCCACUGCUGCCUCCCGUAGGAGUCUGGGCCGUGUCUCAGUCCCAGUGUGGCUGAUCAUCCUCUCAGACCAGCUACGGAUCGUCGCCUUGGUGAGCCGUUACCUCACCAACCAGCUAAUCCGACAUAGGCUCAUCCGAUAGCGCGAGGCCCGAAGGUCCCCCGCUUUCCCCCGUAGGGCGUAUGCGGUAUUAGCCUGGGUUUCCCCAGGUUAUCCCCCACUACCGGGCAGAUUCCUAUGCAUUACUCACCCGUCCGCCGCUCGCCACCAGGGAGCAAGCUCCCCGUGCUGCCGCUCGACUUGCAUGUGUAGUCGUCGCCGCCGACGCGUCUACUACUCGAGACCGACGGACGUACGAAACCUAACCUACGUACGUACGACGGACGGGCGGUCGGCGGAACGGGACGGCCGACGUA
Molecule: ribosomal RNA, 568 nt
Filed under: uncultured bacterium
Lineage: Bacteria
Description: partial 16S ribosomal RNA
Source: RNAcentral